CAAAAAGCCAUUCGGGCUCCAAAAAGUGCUCUAACAUAAAGUAUUACGGAGGGCGAUUAGAGCUCAAAAAGCUGCUGAAAGGGGUCCGAGGUGCUCUACAUUGAGGCUCCGUUUUAGCAAGGGAGUCAGCUGUGGUGUUAGCCUACCUCUAAAUAUAUGCUGAUAAACAACGUACAUAUCCAUGAAAAGGUCAAAGAUCUCAUUAAAGACAUGAACCAAUCUCCAAGGGUAGGGAGAUGAUCUGGAUGCCCAAGCUAUGACGUUUGAAUCGCCCUCAAUGAUAAGGGUGGCGCUCCACGAUGGAACAAAUUUGUGGAUGCCCAUGAGAAAGGCUAAUGCUUAGGCCAUAGCAGAGUUUGUGUGUCCAACGAAGAGGGAAUAAGAUAGAAGAGUAUUUUCAAUGGAGUCUCUGAAAAUUCCCCCUAUUCCGGCAAGGCCUGGUUUCCAAGGGAGCAGCCAUCGAAAAUGAGCAUCACUUGGCCUGGCUCAGGUGGUCUUCAUAGCAAAGAACGAGAGACCCUAGCUGGUCUAGGGGUCAGCAGAUUUUUCUAAUUAAGGUGGAAGUCCGCAAAGGAAUAAAGUUGGAACAACAUGUGGUUUCACCUCUAAAGAUCCGAUUGUUACGCUCCAACCAAAUAAUCCUAAGUGUUGCAGCAACGGUGGCACGCCACAGGUAAUUGCCUGUGGCUGGACUAAGGUGGAGAGAUGAAGGCCCGGAUGAGUUGGGGUAUAUGGAGCAAGGGGUUACCAGACCCAACCGAAACGUUGAAGAAGAAGACCCCACAGGAAGCAGGCAACACGGCAGUGAAUAAAGAGGUGUGCUUCAGUUUCCUCUUCCUCCCUACACAUAGAUCAUCUGUUAGAGAGCUGGUGGCCCCUUCUUUGGAGUUGGUCUACCACAAGAGCUCUCUCAAAGAAAGCCAGCUAAAUAUAAAGAGGGCUGAAGAUUGGAUGGGGGAGUAGGUUGGCAAGCUUUGUAGAAAGUAGUGACUGAGAAAAUACCCGUGGGGGCUGGUGAAGAAAAAGAAAAACAAGAUAGAGAAAUAGAGUUGGGGAAAAUUUCUUGCAGAAGUCAAGCACCGUUCUACGCUUGGCUGCGUCUCCCAGCAAACAUUUUCAACACACCCUAAGGAAUUACCCACAAGCAAAAAAUUUCAACACACCCCAAGGAAUGAUAUAUAAAAUGAGAGAGAGGGGGAGCGAGAGAUUGCUUGGCCUGAAAGGGAAUUACCCACAAGCAAACAUUUUUAACACACCAUAAGGAAUGAUAUCAAAUUAGAGAGAGAGAGAGAGGGAGAGAAAAAGGACUGCAAGGAAGAAUAUACAAUGAUGAGACACUCCUGCAAACAAAAGAAAUAGAAAAACAAGAUAGAGAAAUAAAAAAACGAGAAGAAGAGAGAGAGAGAGUGGAGAAUCUUCUGCACCAAGCAAACCAAGGAGGAGGGAGAGAGAUCAUGGAGAGAGAGUGAGUAGAGAAAGAGAGAGAUCUAGCUGGUUGAUUGCAAGUGCUCAGAUUGGGGUGGGAGGCAGCCACUGGAUGCAGACAACAAAGCUGGGGUGAAGAUGCGGCCAAGGUAGAAUGGUGGAUCGUCGGGUCUAUUUAUGGAGAGUAGGAGAGAGAAAAGUUCAUAAG
Molecule: long non-coding RNA, 1633 nt
Filed under: Amborella trichopoda
Lineage: Eukaryota; Viridiplantae; Streptophyta; Magnoliopsida; Amborellales; Amborellaceae
Description: long non-coding RNA (ATRI_LNC005188)
Source: RNAcentral